This 1018-nucleotide ribosomal RNA is filed under the name Acinetobacter bereziniae. RNAcentral's name for it is "bacterial SSU rRNA". It matches the Rfam family "Bacterial small subunit ribosomal RNA", at positions 52 to 1061 of the family's 1533-position model. The record is from RNAcentral. Lineage: Bacteria; Pseudomonadati; Pseudomonadota; Gammaproteobacteria; Moraxellales; Moraxellaceae.
UACCAUGCAAGUCGAGCGGGGGAGAUUGCUUCGGUAAUUGACCUAGCGGCGGACGGGUGAGUAAUACUUAGGAAUCUGCCUAUUAAUGGGGGACAACAUCUCGAAAGGGAUGCUAAUACCGCAUACGCCCUACGGGGGAAAGCAGGGGAUCACUUGUGACCUUGCGUUAAUAGAUGAGCCUAAGUCGGAUUAGCUAGUUGGUGGGGUAAAGGCCUACCAAGGCGACGAUCUGUAGCGGGUCUGAGAGGAUGAUCCGCCACACUGGGACUGAGACACGGCCCAGACUCCUACGGGAGGCAGCAGUGGGGAAUAUUGGACAAUGGGGGGAACCCUGAUCCAGCCAUGCCGCGUGUGUGAAGAAGGCCUUAUGGUUGUAAAGCACUUUAAGCGAGGAGGAGGCUCUUUUGGUUAAUACCCAAGAUGAGUGGACGUUACUCGCAGAAUAAGCACCGGCUAACUCUGUGCCAGCAGCCGCGGUAAUACAGAGGGUGCGAGCGUUAAUCGGAUUUACUGGGCGUAAAGCGUGCGUAGGCGGCUUUUUAAGUCGGAUGUGAAAUCCCCGAGCUUAACUUGGGAAUUGCAUUCGAUACUGGGAAGCUAGAGUAUGGGAGAGGAUGGUAGAAUUCCAGGUGUAGCGGUGAAAUGCGUAGAGAUCUGGAGGAAUACCGAUGGCGAAGGCAGCCAUCUGGCCUAAUACUGACGCUGAGGUACGAAAGCAUGGGGAGCAAACAGGAUUAGAUACCCUGGUAGUCCAUGCCGUAAACGAUGUCUACUAGCCGUUGGGGUCUUUGAGACUUUAGUGGCGCAGCUAACGCGAUAAGUAGACCGCCUGGGGAGUACGGUCGCAAGACUAAAACUCAAAUGAAUUGACGGGGGCCCGCACAAGCGGUGGAGCAUGUGGUUUAAUUCGAUGCAACGCGAAGAACCUUACCUGGUCUUGACAUAGUAAGAACUUUCCAGAGAUGGAUUGGUGCCUUCGGGAACUUACAUACAGGUGCUGCAUGGCUGUCGUCAGCUC